Molecule: ribosomal RNA, 370 nt
Filed under: uncultured eukaryote
Lineage: Eukaryota
Description: partial 18S ribosomal RNA
Rfam family: Eukaryotic small subunit ribosomal RNA
Source: RNAcentral
CAAUAGCGUAUAUUAAAGUUGUUGCAGUUAAAAAGCUCGUAGUUGGACCUUGGACCUGGACAGGCGGUCCGCCUCACGGCGUGUACUGUCUUGCUGGGUCUUUCCUCUUGGUGAUCUGUUGUUUCGGCAGCAGGGAACCAGGACUUUUACUUUGAAAAAAUUAGAGUGUUCAAAGCAGGCUCGACGCCGGAAUAUAUUAGCAUGGAAUAAUAAAAUGGGACGUGCGGUUCUAUUUUGUUGGUUUUUGGAAUCGCCGUAAUGAUUAAUAGGGACAGUCGGGGGCAUUAGUACUCACAUGCUAGAGGUGAAAUUCUUGGAUUUUGUGAAGACUAACUUCUGCGAAAGCAUUUGCCAAGGAUGUUUUCAUUAA